AGUGAACGCUGGCGGUAGGCCUAACACAUGCAAGUCGAACGGCAGCACAGUAAGAGCUUGCUCUUACGGGUGGCGAGUGGCGGACGGGUGAGGAAUACAUCGGAAUCUACUUUUUCGUGGGGGAUAACGUAGGGAAACUUACGCUAAUACCGCAUACGACCUACGGGUGAAAGCAGGGGAUCUUCGGACCUUGCGCGAUUGAAUGAGCCGAUGUCGGAUUAGCUAGUUGGCGGGGUAAAGGCCCACCAAGGCGACGAUCCGUAGCUGGUCUGAGAGGAUGAUCAGCCAAACUAGAACUGAGACACGGUCCAGACUCCUACGGGAGGCAGCAGUGGGGAAUAUUGGACAAUGGGCGGAAGCCUGAUCCAGCCAUAACGCGUGGGUGAAGAAGGCCUUCGGGUUGUAAAGCCCUUUUGUUGGGAAAGAAAAGCAGCAGGUUAAUACCCCGCUGUUCUGACGGUACCCAAAGAAUAAGCACCGGCUAACUUCGUG
This 492-nucleotide ribosomal RNA is filed under the name uncultured bacterium. RNAcentral's name for it is "partial 16S ribosomal RNA". It matches the Rfam family "Bacterial small subunit ribosomal RNA", at positions 29 to 507 of the family's 1533-position model. The record is from RNAcentral.